UAUUCUGGUGUCCUAGGCGUAGAGGAACCACACCAAUCCAUCCCGAAUUUGGUGGUUAAACUCUACUGCGGUGACGAUACUGUAGGGGAGGUCCUGCGGCAAAAUAGCUCGAUGCCAGAAUG
RNAcentral lists this ribosomal RNA (122 nucleotides) under Triticum monococcum (einkorn wheat). RNAcentral also lists the same sequence under 9 other names. The record is from RNAcentral. Lineage: Eukaryota; Viridiplantae; Streptophyta; Magnoliopsida; Poales; Poaceae.